GGAAAGACGAGCCUUCCUAGUUGGCCUCCAUGACAACACUUCCAAGAGCCUCCGAGAAAGCAGCCUGUCCCAGCCAGGGCGGUGCUGGGUGUUGGAAGUCCUCGGGCUGCGUGUGCAGGAGGAAGCUCACGGGUGUCUGCUUUCUGCCGGAGGAAGCCGGGCAGUUUGUUCUGGAAGGAGCUUCUCUAGCUACGUGAUCAGCACUUCUGUCUCCACAUCUCAGCUCUUAGUGACCCUUGGCUCUGCUGGGUUCAGCCCGCGUCCACUCUUCCCUCUCGCCGAAGAGAACGGAGCACCUGUUCUGUGCAGAAUUGUGCUUUGCCCCCGAAGCUGCAAAGUCGUUCAGGACCAGAGUCCAGGGAGCCUUGGGUCUGCGCAGGAUGCUGACUGGCGGUUUGAUGCGCAGGCAGGAUCACAAGCCUGGGCCGAAGACUGGGUCGCCCCCUCCCCCAUCACCACGCCUUCAUCCUCUGGCUCCUAGACCUAUUUCUGCGGUCAAGGUGAGAAGCACCCCUCCCCGUGCGGCUCCCUCCCUGCCCCAAAACCUGGGAACCAGCGGCAGGAGGACUCCAGGCCCCAGGCGAGGGAGAUUAGCGGCUUUGCCCCUACCAGUCUCCACAGGACCGCCCCGAGGCCACAGGAGCUCAAGAAUACACUGCAUUUUUCUCAUUUUAAUGAAGGUACAAAGGGUACUUGGGAAGGAAGCGCGCCAAGAAAUCAUGCCCUUUCAGCAGAAGCAACGAAGAUGCAGGAGUUCCUGUUGAGGUUCAGCCGUAACAAACCCAACUAGUAUUCAUGAGGUUGCGGGUUUGAUCCCUGGCCUCGCUCAGUGGGUUAAGGACCCGGCGUUGCUGUGGUGUAGGUUGCAGACCCAUCUCGGAUCCCGCGUUGCUGUGGCUGUGAUGGAGGCCGGCGGCUAAAGCUCUGAUUGGCCCCCUCGCCUGGGAACCUCCAUAUGUCACAGGUGCAGCUCUACAAAGAUAAAAAAGUAAAAGAAGAGGUAGGAAAGAUGCAGAAGGAAGAAAACCAUCUAUGGGGGCUGCAGGGCGAGGAUGGGUGAGGGGGGAAGAGCUGGACUAAAGGGCAAAGGGGUGGGGGGUUCAAGCGCUUGCCACGGCUUCUGCUUCAUCGCAGGUUUCCAGAAAGCCCGAGUCUUACUGGAAACCCCAAGAAGAACAAUAGUCCCCUUGAUCCGCCUCCUGUGGGGAUCCUGGGAAUAUGCUCAGGUGGCGGCAGAGGGACACGGCAUUCCUGCUUCUGGCCCCCGUCUGAGGGCUGCCUGGCAUUCCUGGGUGAGUCACAGGGAGACAAGCCAGCAUCUUUUUUUCCCCAGACAAACGGAAAGCGUCCCCCAAGUCUAAAAAUCGAAGGUAAGAGGAAAUUAGCCCUGGAAAAAACACCCAAGUUAGUCACUUAGUGAAUUUCUCUGAGUUUUAAUAACCUCAGCAUCGUCACCCCUAAAAAGGCCCUUCCAACAGCGAAUUCCUUGGGGGUUGCAAAAGAGGUUGUGACAGAUUCCCUUCUCUGAGCUCCUCAAAGUCUCCUCCACCCCUCCCAGUCUGCCCCCCACCCCACCCCGGGGACAGAAUAAAGGGGGCUCCUGCUGCUUCUCCA
RNAcentral lists this long non-coding RNA (1614 nucleotides) under Sus scrofa (pig). RNAcentral's name for it is "lncRNA (ENSSSCG00030040893.1)". The record is from RNAcentral. Lineage: Eukaryota; Metazoa; Chordata; Mammalia; Artiodactyla; Suidae.